This 345-nucleotide unclassified non-coding RNA is filed under the name soil metagenome. RNAcentral's name for it is "partial contains 5.8S ribosomal RNA, internal transcribed spacer 2, and large subunit ribosomal RNA". The stretch from base 1 to 120 matches the Rfam family "5.8S ribosomal RNA", at positions 35 to 154 of the family's 154-position model. The record is from RNAcentral.
GAUGAAGAACGCAGCGAAAUGCGAUAAGUAGUGUGAAUUGCAGAAUUCAGUGAAUCAUCGAAUCUUUGAACGCACAUUGCGCCCCCUGGUAUUCCGGGGGGCAUGCCUGUCCGAGCGUCAUUGCUGCCCUCAAGCACGGCUUGUGUGUUGGGCCUCCGUCCUCCUCCCGGGGGACGGGCCCGAAAGGCAGCGGCGGCACCGCGUCCGGUCCUCGAGCGUAUGGGGCUUCGUCACCCGCUCUUGUAGGCCCGGUCGGCGCUUGCCGACACAUCAAUCUUUUUUCCAGGUUGACCUCGGAUCAGGUAGGGAUACCCGCUGAACUUAAGCAUAUCAAUAAGCGGAGGA